RNAcentral lists this ribosomal RNA (490 nucleotides) under uncultured bacterium. RNAcentral describes it as "partial 16S ribosomal RNA". It matches the Rfam family "Bacterial small subunit ribosomal RNA", at positions 30 to 507 of the family's 1533-position model. The record is from RNAcentral.
AUUGAACGCUGGCGGCAGGCCUAACACAUGCAAGUCGAACGGUAACAGGAAGAAGCUUGCUUCUUUGCUGACGCGUGGCGGACGGGUGAGUCAUGUCUGGGAAACUGCCUGAUGGAGGGGGAUACCUACUGGAAACGGUAGCUAAUACCGCAUAACGUCGCAAGACCAAAGAGGGGGACCUUCGGGCCUCUUGCCAUCGGCUGUGCCCAGAUGGGAUUAGCUAGUAGGUGGGGUAACGGCUCACCUAGGCGACGAUCCCUAGCUGGUCUGAGAGGGUGACCAGCCACACUGGAACUGAGACACGGUCCAGACUCCUACGGGAGGCAGCAGUGGGGAAUAUUGCACAAUGGGCGCAAGCCUGAUGCAGCCAUGCCGCGUGUAUGAAGAAGGCCUUCGGGUUGUAAAGUACUUUCAGCGGGGAGGAAGGGAGUAAAGUUAAUACCUUUGCUCAUUGACGGUACCCGCAGAAGAAGCACCGGCUAACUCCGUG